This 424-nucleotide ribosomal RNA is filed under the name uncultured bacterium. Its description in RNAcentral is "partial 16S ribosomal RNA". It matches the Rfam family "Bacterial small subunit ribosomal RNA", at positions 360 to 776 of the family's 1533-position model. The record is from RNAcentral.
AAUAUUGGACAAUGGGCGAAAGCCUGAUCCAGCCAUGCCGCGUGUGUGAAGACGGUCUUCGGUGUGUUAAGCACUUUAUGUUGGGAGGAAGUGCAGUAAGUUAUUACCUUGCUGUGUUGACGUUACCGACAGAAUAAGCACCGGCUAACUUCGUGCCAGCAGCCGCGGUAAUUCGAAUGGUGCAAGCGUUAAUCGGAAUUACUGGGUGUAAAGCGCGCGUAGGUGGUUUGAUAAGUUGGAUGUGAAAGCCCCGGGCUCAACCUGGGAAUUGCAUCCAAAACUGUCUGACUAGAGUAUGGCAGAGGGUGGUGGAAUUUCCUGUGUAGCGGUGAAAUGCGUAGAUAUAGGAAGGAAAGCCAGUGGCGAAGGCGACCACCUGGGCUAAUACUGACACUGAGGUGCGAAAGCGUGGGGAGCAAACAGG